RNAcentral lists this ribosomal RNA (738 nucleotides) under Cutaneotrichosporon mucoides. RNAcentral describes it as "eukaryotic LSU rRNA". The stretch from base 418 to 738 matches the Rfam family "Eukaryotic large subunit ribosomal RNA", at positions 1 to 316 of the family's 3401-position model. The record is from RNAcentral. Lineage: Eukaryota; Fungi; Basidiomycota; Tremellomycetes; Trichosporonales; Trichosporonaceae.
CUAUAUCCAUCUACACCUGUGAACUGUUGAUUGACUUCGGUCAAUUACUUUUACAAACAUUGUGUAAUGAACGUCAUGUUAUUAUAACAAAAAUAACUUUCAACAACGGAUCUCUUGGCUCUCGCAUCGAUGAAGAACGCAGCGAAAUGCGAUAAGUAAUGUGAAUUGCAGAAUUCAGUGAAUCAUCGAAUCUUUGAACGCAACUUGCGCUCUCUGGUAUUCCGGAGAGCAUGCCUGUUUGAGUAUCAUGAAAUCUCAACCAUUAGGGUUUCUUAAUGGCUUGGAUUUGGGCGCUGCCACUUGCCUGGCUCGCCUUAAAAGAGUUAGCGUAUUAACUUGUCGAUCUGGCGUAAUAAGUUUCGCUGGUGUAGACUUGAGAAGUGCGCUUCUAAUCGUCUUCGGACAAUUCUUGAACUCUGGUCUCAAAUCAGGUAGGACUACCCGCUGAACUUAAGCAUAUCAAUAAGCGGAGGAAAAGAAACUAACUAGGAUUCCCUUAGUAACGGCGAGUGAACCGGGAAAAGCUCAAAUUUGUAAUCUGGCUGUCUUCGAUAGUCCGAGUUGUAAUCUAUAGACGUGUUUUCCGUGCUGGACCGUAUCUAAGUCCCUUGGAACAGGGUAUCAAAGAGGGUGACAAUCCCGUGCUUGAUACGACCACCAGUGCUCUGUGAUACACGCUCUACGAGUCGAGUUGUUUGGGAAUGCAGCUCAAAAUGGGUGGUAAAUUCCAUCUAAAGC